Molecule: long non-coding RNA, 422 nt
Organism: Gadus macrocephalus (Pacific cod)
Lineage: Eukaryota; Metazoa; Chordata; Actinopteri; Gadiformes; Gadidae
Exons: 3
Source: RefSeq, a predicted model, not a curated record
CACACACACACACACACAACAGACACAUAAACACAUAGCAACAGGUACUACACACAAAGAGUUUUUUAGCCAAGUCUUAGGUUGCUGGGAGAUGGUUCUGUGGAGCUGCUGAAUGGGACGAGAGCGUAUGUCAGGGUCACACAGGAAGAGCAAUAAUGAAUGGGCUGUCCCUUCUGAGUCGGGGUUGUGGUCAUGUGGAGGAACAACAUGGCCGCCUGGAGGUCUGUUUCACACCGCAGGAUUACUACAUCUGGAGGUCGCAGCAGUCUCUGCUCCGGCUGACCAAUAACAGCAGCCGUCUGCUGCAGGGGGGCGCGGCCACAGCUGCUAAGACCUAUAGCACCCGCAGAGGACCCCUGCUGAUCUACACACAGGUGUGUGUGUGUGUGUGUGUGUGUGUGUGUGUAUGUGUGUGUGAGUGU